AUACGAAGGUCCCAAGCGUUAUUCGGAAUCACUGGGCGUAAAGAGUACGUAGGCGGUUUGGUAAGUCAGGUGUGAAAUCCCGAAGCUCAACUUCGGAACUGCAUCCGAUACUGCCAGACUAGAGUAAUGGAGAGGCAGGUGGAAUUCUCGGUGCAGCAGUGAAAUGCGUGGAUAUCGAGAGGAAGACCAAUGGCGAAGGCAGCCUGCUGGACAUUUACUGACGCUGAGGUACGAAGGCUAGGGGAGCGAAAGGGAUUAGAAACCCCAGUAGUCC
This 274-nucleotide ribosomal RNA is filed under the name uncultured bacterium. RNAcentral's name for it is "partial 16S ribosomal RNA". It matches the Rfam family "Bacterial small subunit ribosomal RNA", at positions 523 to 796 of the family's 1533-position model. The record is from RNAcentral.